UACGAAGGGGGCUAGCGUUGCUCGGAAUUACUGGGCGUAAAGCGCACGUAGGCGGCUUUGUAAGUUAGAGGUGAAAGCCCGGGGCUCAACUCCGGAAUUGCCUUUAAGACUGCAUCGCUAAAAUUGUGGAGAGGUAAGUGGAAUUCCGAGUGUAGAGGUGAAAUUCGUAGAUAUUCGGAAGAACACCAGUGGCGAAGGCGACUUACUGGACACAUAUUGACGCUGAGGUGCGAAAGCGUGGGGAGCAAACAGG
Molecule: ribosomal RNA, 253 nt
Filed under: uncultured bacterium
Lineage: Bacteria
Description: partial 16S ribosomal RNA
Rfam family: Bacterial small subunit ribosomal RNA
Source: RNAcentral